Myiozetetes cayanensis is the source of this 425-nucleotide long non-coding RNA. RefSeq lists it as uncharacterized. The transcript is spliced from 3 exons. NCBI's taxonomy places the organism in Eukaryota, Metazoa, Chordata, Aves, Passeriformes, Tyrannidae. The record is from RefSeq and is a predicted model, not a curated record.
GGGCCCAGCCCUCCAGCUCUUAACCCAGCAGAGAGUGCACCUGGCCAAGCCGUGGGCUGCCAGCUUUCCCAGGAGUAUAUUAUGGGAGACAGUGUGAAAGGCUUUGCUGAAGUCCAGAUAGACCACAUCUACAGCUUUCCCCCUGUCCACCAGGCAGGUCAGCUGAUCAUAAAAGGAGAUCAGAGAGCUUUUGCCGAGGAGCAGUCUUUCAAGGAGUAACGGUGAGAGCGUCUCGCUGGGGCAAGCACCUGAGGUCCCUGGAUCAUCGCUCAAGGAAGGGGCCGAGGGAUGAGCCGUGUGCCGGGAAACAGCACAGGAGAGGGGAGCAGCGCACGUGAACAGGUGAAAGAGGCCAUCGGCACAAGUGUGGAGAAGAGCUAGGUGAACACUGGUGAGCAAGAUGAGUGUGGACUCCUUGACAGAAG